RNAcentral lists this ribosomal RNA (253 nucleotides) under uncultured bacterium. RNAcentral's name for it is "partial 16S ribosomal RNA". It matches the Rfam family "Bacterial small subunit ribosomal RNA", at positions 524 to 776 of the family's 1533-position model. The record is from RNAcentral.
UACGUAGGGGGCUAGCGUUGUCCGGAAUCAUUGGGCGUAAAGAGCGCGUAGGCGGCCCGAUAAGUCCGCUGUGAAAGUCCAGGGCUCAACCCUGGGAUGCCGGUGGAUACUGUCGGGCUCGAGUCCGGAAGAGGCGAGUGGAAUUCCUGGUGUAGCGGUGAAAUGCGCAGAUAUCAGGAGGAACACCAAUGGCGAAGGCAGCUCGCUGGGACGUGACUGACGCUGAGACGCGAAAGCGUGGGGAGCAAACAGG